This 695-nucleotide non-coding RNA is filed under the name Soboliphyme baturini. Its description in RNAcentral is "Eukaryotic large subunit ribosomal RNA". It matches the Rfam family "Eukaryotic large subunit ribosomal RNA", at positions 117 to 664 of the family's 3401-position model. Lineage: Eukaryota; Metazoa; Nematoda; Enoplea; Dioctophymatida; Soboliphymatidae. The record is from Rfam by way of RNAcentral.
UCCGCUGUUGGUAAUCGAUUAGCGUGUGGAAUAGAAUUCGUCCUGCAUUUUCAGACUAUGAAUAUCGUGACUAUCACGUCUAAUGCUUAUGGAAAAUGUGAGGCCUGUGGUACAUUUGUGUUUGACGCAAAAAAUGCCCUUAGGGUCGAGUUUUUGGGAAUUGCAGCCAAAAGUUGAUGGAAAAUCGCACCUGAAACUAGACAUGACUACGAAACCGACAAAGAACAAGAACAGAGAGGAAAAAUUGGAAAGAACUUUGUGGAAAGAAUUCAACCGGACAUGUGAAACUGUUCAGAAGGAAGCAGAUGGUGACUCGAUAAUCAGUUGAUUUGACAUGUGAUUCCUGACCCGGAACGUCGGGGUUAUGUUUUCAAACGUCUGUCUUAAUUAUUAAUUUCCUUGAACAAGGAAUUCAUCUCGCAGUUUCGUCGUUGCACUUUGGUUCGGUGCAACCAACCGAUAUACGGUCAGCAAGCCUCUGAACUGUGGACAACAUUGUUCUCGCGAGGGCAUGCGAAAAUGGGCGAGGGAUAUGGUCAUGCUGUCUCAUGGGAGACCCUCUUAGGGCUGCAAUUCGCUUACUGUUCAAUGGGAUAUUCAGCGCAAGGCAUAAGUCCUGUUGCUAUUAAGAUCCAGGUAUGAUACCAGUAAGUGAAUAAGGAACCAAAAGAUACCGGAUAUUCGUCAUGAUACGG